AGCGAACGCUGGCGGCAGGCCUAACACAUGCAAGUCGAACGAACCUUUCGGGGUUAGUGGUGGACGGGUGAGUAACACGUGGGAACGUGCCUUUAGGUUCGGAAUAACUCAGGGAAACUUGUGCUAAUACCGAAUGUGCCCUUCGGGGGAAAGAUUAAUCGCCUUUAGAGCGGCCCGCGUCUGAUUAGCUAGUUGGUUGAGGUAAUGGCUCACCAAGGCGACGAUCAGUAGCUGGUCUGAGAGGAUGAUCAGCCACAUUGGGACUGAGACACGGCCCAAACUCCUACGUGAGGCAGCAGUGGGGAAUCUUGCGCAAUGGGCGAAAGCCUGACGCAGCCAUGCCGCGUGAAUGAUGAAGGUCUUAGGAUUGUAAAAUUCUUUCACCGGGGACGAUAAUGACGGUACCCGGAGAAGAAGCCCCGGCUAACUUCGUG
Molecule: ribosomal RNA, 434 nt
Filed under: uncultured bacterium
Lineage: Bacteria
Description: partial 16S ribosomal RNA
Rfam family: Bacterial small subunit ribosomal RNA
Source: RNAcentral